RNAcentral lists this ribosomal RNA (159 nucleotides) under Candidatus Nomurabacteria bacterium RIFCSPHIGHO2_01_FULL_37_25. Its description in RNAcentral is "partial 23S ribosomal RNA". It matches the Rfam family "Bacterial large subunit ribosomal RNA", at positions 306 to 464 of the family's 2925-position model. The record is from RNAcentral. Lineage: Bacteria; Candidatus Nomuraibacteriota.
GAGGAGUCAAAAAAUAAGUUAUUAGCUUAAGUUGCUGGAAAGCGACACCAUAGAGGGUGAUAGUCCUGUGAGCGAAAAUAAUUUAUCUCUUUUAUUGCUAUUCUUGAGUACCCCAGGACAUGAAUGGCCGGGGGGAAUCUAGCGGAACUAACCGCUAAG